Molecule: ribosomal RNA, 253 nt
Filed under: uncultured bacterium
Lineage: Bacteria
Description: partial 16S ribosomal RNA
Rfam family: Bacterial small subunit ribosomal RNA
Source: RNAcentral
UACGUAGGGUGCGAGCGUUGUCCGGAAUUACUGGGCGUAAAGAGCUCGUAGGUGGUUUGUCGCGUUGUUCGUGAAAUCUCACGGCUUAACUGUGAGCGUGCGGGCGAUACGGGCAGACUUGAGUACUGCAGGGGAGACUGGAAUUCCUGGUGUAGCGGUGAAAUGCGUAGAUAUCAGGAGGAACACCGGUGGCGAAGGCGCACACCUGGCCCGAUACUGACGCUGAGGCGCGAAAGCUAGGGGAGCAAACGGG